Chinchilla lanigera (long-tailed chinchilla) is the source of this 400-nucleotide long non-coding RNA. RefSeq lists it as uncharacterized. The record is from RefSeq and is a predicted model, not a curated record. NCBI's taxonomy places the organism in Eukaryota, Metazoa, Chordata, Mammalia, Rodentia, Chinchillidae. The transcript has 3 exons.
AUUUGCAGUAAGAAGGGACAGAAUGCCACUGGAAAUGUAGGAAGGAACCAUAUCUACCAGAAAUGGUUUGGAGGAUAUGGCAGAGAGCAAAACAACCCUUUCCUCCUGGAGCUUGCUUUCCAGAAGAUAAGACACAGAUAAGAAAUCAGAAGAGUGCAUCGUGGUGGUCUACAGGAAGUAGAGAUAGGGCAUUCUGAGAUACCCAGAUCAUCAGGGUAUCACAUUUGUAGUUCACCCUUGCCUGGAACUGACUGUGUAGACCAGACUCGCCUCGAACUCAUGGCAAUCCUGCCUCAGCAUCCUGUGCACCAACAUACCUGGCUGCUUUCAUUAUAUUGAGCAAUAACUAAAUGUCCAUUGAAUUUAAAAUAUAUAUAAAAUACCCUAUAUGUGAAUUAGA